GUUUAUAUAAUUUAUAAAGAAUAUUGCAUUGAAGCUGCAAAAGAGGCUGAAAGUCUGUAAAUA
RNAcentral lists this transfer RNA (63 nucleotides) under Leptodius sanguineus. Its description in RNAcentral is "tRNA-Phe". The record is from RNAcentral. Lineage: Eukaryota; Metazoa; Arthropoda; Malacostraca; Decapoda; Xanthidae.